GGGCGGGAUUCUGAAUACACCAGACAUUUGAAGAACAACAAUAGCAUGCCUGCAGAGAUAACCUUUGUAUUCAAAUGAACGACAUAAACAACAUAUUUCCGAUUUUGAUUCAUUCCACUCCACCAUAUAAUUUUGAUUAUCUUCAAAAUCUUUUACGGUAUAAAUUGUGGUAGUCUCAUCCUCAGUUUCUUCUUUCUUGAGAUGACAAGCAGCUGCUCCCAAAACCUCAAAUUGAAAUUUCUUGAAAAUCUCAUGUGUGUAUACAAAUGACAUUUGUUUCUCAAAAGGUGAUGGAGACUUCAUCUCUGGCGUCUCAUGCCAAGAAUCAAAAUCUGCUCUGGCUUCUUCCUCAUACCUAUCUUCAAGAAUUAAUUUGUAUUGCUCUAUAAACUCUCUCAUUGAUGUUUCCCAAUGCACAUAUU
This 422-nucleotide unclassified non-coding RNA is filed under the name Hevea brasiliensis (rubber tree). The record is from RNAcentral. Lineage: Eukaryota; Viridiplantae; Streptophyta; Magnoliopsida; Malpighiales; Euphorbiaceae.